This 84-nucleotide transfer RNA is filed under the name Paludibacteraceae bacterium. RNAcentral describes it as "tRNA-Leu". It matches the Rfam family "tRNA". Rfam says of the family: Transfer RNA (tRNA) molecules are approximately 80 nucleotides in length. The record is from RNAcentral. Lineage: Bacteria; Pseudomonadati; Bacteroidota; Bacteroidia; Bacteroidales; Paludibacteraceae.
GCCCAGAUUGCGGAAUAGGUAGACGCGCUGGUCUCAAAAACCAGGAGGUUCACCCCUGUGGCGGUUCGACCCCGGCUCUGGGUA